Molecule: transfer RNA, 56 nt
Filed under: Lachnospiraceae bacterium M18-1
Lineage: Bacteria; Bacillati; Bacillota; Clostridia; Lachnospirales; Lachnospiraceae
Source: Rfam by way of RNAcentral
GGCGCAGUAGCCAAGUGGUAAGGCGUGGGUCUGCAACACCCCACAUAUGUGCGCCA